RNAcentral lists this ribosomal RNA (395 nucleotides) under Rostanga elandsia. RNAcentral's name for it is "partial 16S ribosomal RNA". It matches the Rfam family "Archaeal large subunit ribosomal RNA", at positions 1998 to 2666 of the family's 2987-position model. The record is from RNAcentral. Lineage: Eukaryota; Metazoa; Mollusca; Gastropoda; Nudibranchia; Dorididae.
UUAUGAAUGGCCGCGGUACUUUGACCGUGCUAAGGUAGCGCAAUCAAUUGGCUUUUAAUUGAAGCCACGUAUGAAUGGAAUCACGGGGUUUAACUGUCUCUUAACUAGUUUAUCGAAAUUACUAUUUAGGUGAAAAAGCCUAAAUGAAGAAAAAAGACGAGAAGACCCUUAGAGUUUCUCCUAAUUUAAAAUUAAUUUUUAAAGCAGUUUAGUUGGGGCAACAUAGGAACAACAAUAACCUCCUGUUAAUUACAAACCGAUAGUUAUAAAUAUGAAUAAAUUACCUUAGGGAUAACAGCAUAAUUUUAUAAAUAAGUUUAUGACCUCGAUGUUGGACUAGGAAACUAAUGGGCUAGCCGCCUCUUAGGUAAGUUCUGUUCGAACUGUAUAUUCCU